RNAcentral lists this transfer RNA (68 nucleotides) under Felis catus (domestic cat). It matches the Rfam family "tRNA". Rfam says of the family: Transfer RNA (tRNA) molecules are approximately 80 nucleotides in length. Lineage: Eukaryota; Metazoa; Chordata; Mammalia; Carnivora; Felidae. RNAcentral also lists the same sequence under 3 other names. The record is from Rfam by way of RNAcentral.
GCCGGCUCAGUCGGUGGAGCCUGAAACUCUUGAUCUCAGGGUCGUGGGUUCUAGCCCCACACUCGGCA